GGAACGUACCCUGGAGUGGGGGAUAACGUAGCGAAAGUUACGCUAAUACCGCAUACGAUCUAAGGAUGAAAGUGGGGGAUCGCAAGACCUCAUGCUCGUGGAGCGGCCGAUAUCUGAUUAGCUAGUUGGUAGGGUAAAAGCCUACCAAGGCAUCGAUCAGUAGCUGGUCUGAGAGGACGACCAGCCACACUGGAACUGAGACACGGUCCAGACUCCUACGGGAGGCAGCAGUGGGGAAUUUUGGACAAUGGGCGAAAGCCUGAUCCAGCAAUGCCGCGUGAGUGAAGAAGGCCUUCGGGUUGUAAAGCUCUUUUGUCAGGGAAGAAACGGUGAGGGCUAAUAUCUCCUGCUAAUGACGGUACCUGAAGAAUAAGCACCGGCUAACUACGUGCCAGCAGCC
RNAcentral lists this ribosomal RNA (400 nucleotides) under uncultured Janthinobacterium sp. RNAcentral's name for it is "bacterial SSU rRNA". It matches the Rfam family "Bacterial small subunit ribosomal RNA", at positions 121 to 516 of the family's 1533-position model. Lineage: Bacteria; Pseudomonadati; Pseudomonadota; Betaproteobacteria; Burkholderiales; Oxalobacteraceae. The record is from RNAcentral.